This 429-nucleotide ribosomal RNA is filed under the name Acidobacteriota bacterium. Its description in RNAcentral is "Acidobacteria bacterium partial 16S ribosomal RNA". It matches the Rfam family "Bacterial small subunit ribosomal RNA", at positions 355 to 776 of the family's 1533-position model. The record is from RNAcentral. Lineage: Bacteria; Pseudomonadati; Acidobacteriota.
UGGGGAAUUUUGGACAAUGGGGGAAACCCUGAUCCAGCCAUCCCGCGUGUUCGAUGAAGGCCUUCGGGUUGUAAAGCACUUUUGGCAGGAAAGAAACGUCAUGGGUUAAUACCCCGUGAAACUGACGGUACCUGCAGAAUAAGCACCGGCUAACUACGUGCCAGCAGCCGCGGUAAUACGUAGGGUGCAAGCGUUAAUCGGAAUUACUGGGCGUAAAGCGUGCGCAGGCGGUUCGGAAAGAAAGAUGUGAAAUCCCAGAGCUCAACUUUGGAACUGCAUUUUUAACUACCGGGCUAGAGUGUGUCAGAGGGAGGUGGAAUUCCGCGUGUAGCAGUUAAAUGCGUAGAUAGGCGGAGGAACACCGAUGGCGAAGGCAGCCUCCUGGGAUAACACUGACGCUCAUGCACGAAAGCGUGGGGAGCAAACAGG